RNAcentral lists this ribosomal RNA (497 nucleotides) under uncultured bacterium. RNAcentral describes it as "partial 16S ribosomal RNA". It matches the Rfam family "Bacterial small subunit ribosomal RNA", at positions 28 to 507 of the family's 1533-position model. The record is from RNAcentral.
GAUGAACGCUGGCGGCGUGCCUAAUACAUGCAAGUCGAGCGAACGGACGAGAAGUUUGCUUCUCUGAUGUUAGCGGCGGACGGGUGAGUAACACGUGGAUAACCUACCUAUAAGACUGGGAUAACUUCGGGAAACCGGAGCUAAUACCGGAUAAUAUUUUGAACCGCAUGGUUCAAAAGUGAAGGAGGGUUUGGCUGUCACUUAUAGAUGGAUCCGCGCUGCAUUAGCUGGUUGGUAAGGUAACGGCUUACCAAGGCAACGAUGCAUAGCCAACCUGAGAGGGUGAUCGGCCACACUGGAACUGAGACACGGUCCAGACUCCUACGGGAGGCAGCAGUAGGGAAUCUUCCGCAAUGGGCGAAAGCCUGACGGAGCAACGCCGCGUGAGUGAUGAAGGUCUUCGGAUCGUAAAACUCUGUUAUUAGGGAAGAACAUAUGUGUAAGUAACUGUGCACAUCUUGACGGUACCUAAUCAGAAAGCCACGGCUAACUACGUG